RNAcentral lists this ribosomal RNA (272 nucleotides) under Ophiostoma ips. RNAcentral describes it as "partial large subunit ribosomal RNA". It matches the Rfam family "Bacterial large subunit ribosomal RNA", at positions 1712 to 1972 of the family's 2925-position model. Lineage: Eukaryota; Fungi; Ascomycota; Sordariomycetes; Ophiostomatales; Ophiostomataceae. The record is from RNAcentral.
ACUCGGCANAUGACUACCGUAACUUAGGGAUGAGGGCUCAUUUAAAAUGAUUAAUAUCAAGUAAAAAAGAAGAGACAUAAAAUAGUGUUGUACGACUGUUUAAUUAAAACAAAGCACUUUGCAAAAGAUGAUAAAUCAAAGUAUUAAGUGUGAUAUCUGCCCAAUGCCGUCAGCUUAAUUAUAGAAACUAAUAAUAGAAAUUUGGUUUUUAUAAAAAUCCCCGGUGAAUGGCGGUCUUAUUUUGAGGAUCCUAAGGUAGCGAAAUGCCUUGG